RNAcentral lists this ribosomal RNA (253 nucleotides) under uncultured bacterium. Its description in RNAcentral is "partial 16S ribosomal RNA". It matches the Rfam family "Bacterial small subunit ribosomal RNA", at positions 57 to 305 of the family's 1533-position model. The record is from RNAcentral.
GCAAGUCGAACGAGGUCCAUGGAGCUUGCUCCGGACGAUCGAGUGGCGAACGGGUGAGUAUCACGUGAGAAACCUGCCCCGAAGACCGGGAUAACCCUUCGAAAGGAGAGCUAAUACCGGAUACCCCCUUCGGACCGCAUGGUCUGAAGAGGAAAUGUUUUUUCGCUUUGGGAGGGUCUCGCGACCUAUCAGCUAGUUGGUGAGGUAACGGCUCACCAAGGCAUCGACGGGUAGCUGGUCUGAGAGGACGAUC